UGCUUAACACAUGCAAGUCGAGCGAUGAAUUUCCUUCGGGAAACGGAUUAGCGGCGGACGGGUGAGUAACACGUGGGUAACCUGCCUCAUAGAGUGGAAUAGCCUUCCGAAAGGAAGAUUAAUACCGCAUAACGUUGAAAGAUGGCAUCAUCAUUCAACCAAAGGAGCAAUCCGCUAUGAGAUGGACCCGCGGCGCAUUAGCUAGUUGGUGGGGUAACGGCCUACCAAGGCGACGAUGCGUAGCCGACCUGAGAGGGUGAUCGGCCACAUUGGGACUGAGACACGGCCCAGACUCCUACGGGAGGCAGCAGUGGGGAAUGUUGCACAAUGGGGGAAACCCUGAUGCAGCAACGCCGCGUGAGUGAUGAAGGUUUUCGGAUCGUAAAGCUCUGUCUUUGGGGAAGAUAAUGACGGUACCCAAGGAGGAAGCCACGGCUAACUACGUGCCAGCAGCCGCGGUAAUACGUAGGUGGCGAGCGUUAUCCGGAUUUACUGGGCGUAAAGGGAGCGUAGGCGGAUGAUUAAGUGGGAUGUGAAAUACCCGGGCUCAACUUGGGUGCUGCAUUCCAAACUGGUUAUCUAGAGUGCAGGAGAGGAGAGUGGAAUUCCUAGUGUAGCGGUGAAAUGCGUAGAGAUUAGGAAGAACACCAGUGGCGAAGGCGACUCUCUGGACUGUAACUGACGCUGAGGC
RNAcentral lists this ribosomal RNA (691 nucleotides) under uncultured Clostridium sp. Its description in RNAcentral is "bacterial SSU rRNA". It matches the Rfam family "Bacterial small subunit ribosomal RNA", at positions 45 to 752 of the family's 1533-position model. The record is from RNAcentral. Lineage: Bacteria; Bacillati; Bacillota; Clostridia; Eubacteriales; Clostridiaceae.